GACAGAGGUGCCAAGCGUUAGGCGGAUCCCUGGGCUUAAAGCGUGUGUAGGCGGACUUGUAAGUACCUUGUGAAAUCCCACGGCUCACCCGUGGAACUGCGUCGGAUACUGGAUGGCUUGAAUUCGGGAGAGGGAUGCAGAAUUCCAGGUGUAGCGGUGAAAUGCGUAGAUAUCUGGAGGAAUACCGGUGGCGAAGGCGGCAUCCUGGACCGACAUUGACGCUGAACGGCGAAAGCUAGGGGAGCAAACGGG
RNAcentral lists this ribosomal RNA (252 nucleotides) under uncultured bacterium. RNAcentral describes it as "partial 16S ribosomal RNA". It matches the Rfam family "Bacterial small subunit ribosomal RNA", at positions 524 to 776 of the family's 1533-position model. The record is from RNAcentral.